This is an RNA transcript of Tarenaya hassleriana, 3785 nucleotides long. It is a transcript of the gene named lysine-specific demethylase JMJ706-like, with no coding region annotated. The transcript has 12 exons. The record is from RefSeq and is a predicted model, not a curated record. Lineage: Eukaryota; Viridiplantae; Streptophyta; Magnoliopsida; Brassicales; Cleomaceae.
UUUUUCGGUUUUCCAAGUUCCUUCCUCUUUCGGUAUACUUUUUUCCCAUAGCUACAGUUUCUCUCUCCUCGCCGCCGGGAAACCGCUUUCUCCGACGGGAAACCGCUACCCCGCCCUGCUUUUCGGCCUCCGUUUCUCGUCGGAAACAGCUUGUGCGCUUUCUCUGGUGGAUAUUGUCAGGCGGAUUUUGAUAUCCGUCGGACACGGUUACGCGGCGAUUCGGAUCUCCGCGUUUGACUCGGUCUGUCUCGAUUCACGGCGUUUUCUUAAAAUGUGGUGUGCCGUGUUCGCGUAUCAAGUUGUGGCUUGAUUCCGCGGGUUGAGGUCGUGAUCUAGGGUUUCAUAUCUCCUUGGUUUGGCUGGGAUUCUGGCUUUGUUCUUUGCUUGUCGCGGUCUGGUUUUCGUUGAGUUGAAGAGAACGGAGGCCUACAGAGAUAGACUACGGAAUGCCAUGGUCGAAGGGAGGGUCUGCUUGUCCAAAGAGGCUAAGAAUGGUUUAGAAUAUCUUAAACGUAAAAGGCUUCAGAGAAUGAGAUCAGACUCUGUCAAUGAAACAGUAGGUGUGACCAACACAGUCAUUAGGAGUGGAGGUGAUGCGCUGAGAGCAUCGGCUUCAUGUGGUGUGAGGUUACGGUCAAAUGUUAGUGAUACGAUCUCCAGAUUGAAUGGUGUAUCUGCUGGGAAGAAUGGCUUAUUGAAGCGCAAAGUAGAGAAGUUUGAAACAGAUAAUCUCGAUUGGACCGACAGACUUCCAGAGUGUCCUGUCUACAGACCAACAAAGGAUGAGUUUGAGGAUCCUUUAAUUUAUUUGCAGAAGAUUGCUCCAGAGGCUUCUAAAUAUGGUAUCUGCAAGAUCAUUUCCCCUUUGAUGGCAACAGUUCCUGCAGGAGUUGUGUUGAUGAAAGAGAAAGUAAACUUUAAGUUCACAACCAGAGUACAACCUCUUCGACUUGCUGAGUGGGACUCCGAAGAUAAAGUUACAUUUUUCAUGAGUGGGAGGAACUAUACUUUUCGUGAUUUUGAGAGAAUGGCGAACAAGGUAUUUGGUCGUAGAUACUCUAGUGGCGGUUGUCUUCCUGAAGCUUUCUUGGAAAAAGAAUUUUGGAAGGAAAUUGCUGGUGGCAUGGCGGAGACAGUUGAAUAUGCAUGCGAUGUAGAUGGUAGCGCGUUCUCAACUUCGCCUAGUGACCCACUUGGAAGCAGCAACUGGAACUUGAAGAAAGUUUCGCGGCUGCCAAAGUCCACUCUGCGUCUUCUUGAGGCAUCUAUUCCGGGAGUCACUGAACCAAUGCUUUACAUUGGGAUGCUGUUCAGUAUGUUUGCUUGGCAUGUUGAGGAUCAUUAUUUGUACAGCAUUAAUUAUCAGCAUUGUGGAGCAUCAAAAACUUGGUACGGUGUUCCAGGUGCUGCAGCCCUAAAAUUUGAAAAGGUGGUCAGGGAGUGUGUAUACAGUGAUGAUAUUCUGUCAACCAUUGGAGAGGAUGGAGCCUUUGAUGUGCUUCUGGGGAAAACAACCCUAUUCCCACCAAACAUUCUGUUGGAUCAUGAUGUGCCUGUUUACAGGGCCAUACAAAGGCCUGGGGAGUUUAUUGUUACAUUCCCUAGGGCAUAUCAUGCCGGCUUCAGCCACGGCUUUAACUGUGGCGAGGCUGUGAACUUUGCUAUGGGUGACUGGUUUCCCUUUGGAGCUAUUGCCAGCUGCCGCUAUGCUUAUCUUAACAGGGUCCCUUUGCUUCCUCACGAGGAAUUGAUUUGCAAGGAAGCAAUGCUUUUAUACACAAGAUCUGAACUCCAAGAUCUGAAUUUUUCACCUGCAGACUUGGUGGCACACCAUUGCAUCAAGGUUGCCUUUGUCCACCUGAUACGUUUCCUUCAUUGGGCUCGUUGGUCUUUGAUGAAAUCAAGAUCAUGCACAGGCCUCACUUCGAAUACAUAUGGGACCAUUGUAUGCAGUUUGUGUAAACGGGAUUGUUAUUUGGCUUUUAUAAACUGUGACUGUUACGCGCAUCCUGUUUGCCUUCGCCAUGAUAUUAAAACGCUUGACCUCCCAUGUGGGAGUAUCCGCACCCUUUUCUUGAGGGAUGGCAUUGAAGACAUGGAAGUUGCUGCCAAGAAGUUUGAGGAGGAAGAUGGAGUAUCAGAUGCAAAUUUGAUGGCAGGCGAAGGAGACUUGUAUCCAUACCUGAUGUCAAACACCUUUCCAGUGACUGGAGGAGACGGAUACUCUCCUUAUUCCACCAUAGAUUUUGACUUCGCCCCUGAAAUGGAUAUGACAUCUCGUGACCAGGCAAAGCAAGGAAACCCUGUCUUGAGCCUUGAAGCUGGUGUCUCGUGUCUGUCCUCCGUUGUUGAUGAUUAUGAAUCCGCAACAACUCCUGAUUAUCAGGUACAGGGCCGAGCUAAUGUUAGCAGUGUUGACUCCAAGCUGUCUACAGAAGUAACAUGCAGUAGUUACAAAACUCCAUUAUUCUCUGCGUUUCCAGGGGAACUUCCAAAUUCCCAUUCUGGGAAAUCUCACCACGUCCCAAGUGAUAGACCUGUGGUGGAUCAGGAAAGUGAUGGCUCUGAUUCCGAGGUUUUUAGGGUCAAACGCCGUUCUUCUGUGAAGUUUGAGAACCGAACAUUGGUCCUUGACACGUUAGUAAGGAACUCUGAGCAUCAGGAGGGGCUUAAACGACUGAAGAAACCGCAACAUGAAAGAAGGUGUGGCCAACUGGUACAAUCCAAGGAUGAGCCUGUAAUUGAAUCUCGCUCUAUCUCAAACCGAAGGGAAACGUUGCAGCAAAGUGCUUCAACCGACAGAAUCGUUAGAGGAAGCACGGUUACCGGUUUGAUAAAGAUCAAGAAGACCGGGAAUCAUAAUCAAAUAAGCAGACCACCGCAGCAACAGAAUCACUGGGAAGGCAGAGGAGGAGGGCCAAAGCGUCUAAAAGUAAAGGGGCCGAGGUUCGCUCAACCAGAAGGAUGAGCAAAAAAGCAUAACAAAGACUCCCUGACUAUCAUUUUUUUUCCUGCUAACCGGAUUCUAUUGUUACAAUAUGGGAGUUCUAACAACGCCGGGGGAGAUGAGGAGGCAAACACAUAUAGCUGAUUUCUGGGAGGAAGCAACAGACAUAACAUAGAAAAAGUUUAACCCAGUUUCAUUGGUAGGACACAAUCUUUGAUUCUUUUUGUGCAGGAUGUAUGUCCAAAACCUAGGGGGGCAACCCGCACCUACGUCUUUGAAAGAAACAAAAAAAAGGAAGAAAAAUUGCUUAUGGAGAGGGAAGGGAGGGAGUGUUCUCUCAGGCCGCGGUGUUUUUCCUCCGUGGUAGGGGAGCCUCAAAAGCCGGAGGUGUACAGUAGGUGAGGGACUGCGUGUUUUGCUUUCACACAUGUCAAAUUUGUUAUAUAUGUUUCUAUAGAGCUCCCAUUAAAAGGGCCAAUUGGGGUCGUUCACCUUCACGUAUCGGAAACGCAAACGCUAUACGCAUCCUGUAACAUUCAGUUUUGUUCAUCUUACUUGGGGAUAUUCUCCUCCCUCGGCAUUGGGCCAAAGAAAUUAGGCAACUGAACAGUUCAUGGGGGUCUGAAAUGGGGCUUUCUCGGCGGCCCAUUGUCAGUCAGUAGCACGUUCGGUCCCAUCAUUUUUGUGGAGCGGAUUCCAUUUGAUAACAUGUCCAUUAUGCGAGCAUGUUAUACUUUAAAUACUAUGAUACCGCUUAAUAUUUCUAUUUUUCAAUAUAACACACAGAUUUAUGCAAAUGUUGAACCGUGGAUUUUAGAAAGAUAUACUUUUUGUUCCA